CGCUGAGAGACAGACAGAUGGAGAAGCAUGCAGGCUGGAGAGGAGGCGAGACAAAAGCAUGGAGGAAGUGAGCAGCGUGCGGCCAUGUGCUCAGAAAAAUAACAUAAAAAGGUAGGACUGGAGCCUUAUUGCUGCUUGUCACAUGUCAUCAAAACCCAUUCAAUCAACAUGUUGCAUGGCCAACUUUUAGUGUUCUUUCUGGGUGGAUGACAGAGAUGGUUAUUCACAUGUGAGACGUCCUUGCCAGCGUGUGUGCGUGUGCGUGUGUGUGUGUGUGUGUGUGUGUGUGUAAAGAGCAGCAGCAGCAGCGAUGGUAGGAUAUUGGCAACACUCAGGAAUGUGUGAGACUUCGCCCCAGAUCUCUUUGUUCCCUUCGCUCUCAUUCUGCCUUUUUUCUCUUCUUCGUCUUCUCACAGGGUUGCACAACACACACAUACAUGCACGUGCACACAUGCACAGAGCUUUUGCAGAAAACCAGUUGAAACUUCCCACCAGUGGUAAAGAAAUGUGCGGAAUGUGAUUAUCGCAUGUUUAUUUUAUCAUCCCCUCAAAAAAAGAAAAGAAAAAGACAUCAUGCCCGGUGUGAAAUGUGUGCAUGUAUGUGUGAGCGUGUUCUUGUCUUUAUAUAUCCGUGUGGCACAACUUUGACAACACACCCUACGGGGGGACAUUUUGGCAAGAAAAAUGCAUAGAUGAGCUCAUUCAACACACACACACACACACACAUCCCCCCAAGUGUGUGUGUGUGUGUGUGUGUGUGUGUGGUGGUGGGUGGUGGGAAUGGGAUGCAGUGGGAGGCUCAAGAGCGUGAGUGUUUGGCAGUGCACGUGAGUGUGUGGGUGGCUGUGUGGGUGUCAGGGUGAGUGGGUGCAGAGCCCUCUUUGAGCCAGAGCACAUAUUUGAAGCGAGUGUGCAUGUGUGUGCGUGUGUUUGUAGGUGUUGAUUGUGCGUAACUCAUGCGUGCACGAGGCCCCCAGACAAUACAAAAACAUCCACUUUUGCCAUAUAACGAGAAAUCUGCACCCACUUUUUGACUUGCUCAAAGUAUAUACACCGUAUCCACUCUGAUCCAAGCCAGUUCUGAAUAUAAGACGACCUCUUAUAUUUCAUAAUAUAAUUCUUUGUUGCUGGGUAGACUUAUUAAAAAUCUGCCUUAUAUCACAUGACCCAAAUAUAAAAUGACUCUGCAUAUAAGAUGACCCCUUUUUUUCAUAGACCUGUUUUGGCAACAAAAAUUAACACAAUAUUUUUUUUAAAUCAUGUUUUCAUUAUCACAUAAUAACUAGUAGACUGUGAGUUCAGAUUUUUUUGUUGCUCAAGUUCUUUUGAUUCAUUCUUGAUUCAUUACCUUAAAAUGAUCAUCACCGCACCUCCUCUCUUGUUUGCUAACUUGCUAGCAACCUUUGAGACACUUUUUUCCAGUGUAUGGCUGGUGUCAGAAGUGUGUGUGAGUGACAGGAAGAAAAGCUCCGACUUGCUUGGGGAGAAGUUGACUACUCGUCUUUUUCAGACUUUUUAGCUGGGGGCAGGGGGCAAGGUCUUAUAUUCGGGUCAAUACGGUACUUUGUUGUCAAGUUGCAUGCGGUUGAGGUGCCUGUCAAAGUAAAAGUGCAUUGCGGCGUGUGAAUGGUGGCAUGAAACUUCAGUUGAAACAUGGAGGACAAAAGGCAGAAGGGGUGGGGGGACAUUUAAGAGGCUUUAAGUCAGGAGUACAGACUCGGGAAUGCGGGAGAAAACACACACACACAUAUGCAGUGCCUACAUGCUUUCAACGAGAACACGUACAGGCCAAUGUACAGCUGCGGCGACUCAGAGAGGGAGGCUUUAGCAAAGGGGGAAUUCCCAGUGAAAGAGACAGUGAAAACACCUCCUCUUCACAUGCCGGUCUUCCCGGGAUUUGGGAAACCUGUUGGAAACAAGCUUGCAAAAGGCUAAAUUCAUGGUGAGGAUUUCCAGUAAAAACCUCCACUUUUUGUGCUUAGUUUGGGGGCACCAAACAACAUGGCGACAUGUCGUUAUCUGCUACUUCAAAGGCGGCCACCCUGUCAGCGUGGGCGUUCCUCUCAUGUGUUUGUCGUAGGUCGAGUUCAGCGCACUUUUGUGACCUGGAAUCGAUAUUGUUUAGCAGAAAACAGACACACAAAGGUGAAGAGCAGAGGUAAUAGGUGUGUGUGUGUGUGUGUGUGUGUGUGCACAUGCAAAAACAGCAGACUUGCAAUCCACGUUUGUCCUAGUAUGAUACAGCAAAACAUACUUUGAUGGCCUUAAUCACCUCAUGCUUCAUCAUCAGUCUCAUUUCAUGCCAAAUCUGACUUUCUCUCAUUUUUCACCGAAACCUCAUAUCAUUCUUCUUUGACGUUAUUACAGUGAGACGAGCACUGCCUUUAUUUGAAUGAUCAUCAUAUCAUAUUUAUGUCUUCUUUUGGAUACUUCUUUCUCUCAGUAUCAUCCUAGCUCUGCCUUUGUUUUAUAGCUCAACUCUCAUAUUCUCAUCUACCGCAUGCUGUUUUUACUUCGGCGGUUUCAUCUCACGUUAUCGUUGCUGUUUGUUACUCUUUGCCUUAAGCCUCACACCCCACUGCUGCUUGUGUUUGACUUUUUAAAAUACAGUAAGUCUCAUCAUCUUAUUCUCCCUUAUUGUUUUAUGUUUGUCUAAUAUCGUCGCAUCCUUUUUUUGUGUGUUUUGAUUUUGUGUCUCAUAGAAUCCUAUCAUUGCUUUGAUCAUUUGUUUCCUCCUCAUAUUCCUUUUUUGUCUGUCUUCAGCUUUCUCUUAAGUGUCAUCAUUCAAUGUCAGAUUUUUGGAGGUUUGUACUUCAUUUUCAUAUCAUCUCCUUUGUAUAGUUUUGGACUGUCUAGUUUCAAAGUCUCUCCAAGUGUCUCGUCAUCUGAUCAUUUGUUUUUUGAGAAAAAAAACAUCAUUUGUACAGCUCAUGACAUCCAGUGUUUUGUGUUGUGUCUCAUGUUGUUUAAAGAUAAUUCUCAUGUCACCAUCUGUUCUUUACCUGAGGGUUUGGACUGAAAACUCAUGUCAUUCCACGUCUGGCUUUCUUUCCCUUUUUAUGUCUGGGCCCCGUAUCGUUCAUUCCUCUCUGUUUUUUUUGUUUUGUUUUUUUCAUGACUGCCAACGUCUUGUGUUUUUUCUCAUCUUGUCUUUUUUUUUCGAUAAUCCUCACAUCAUCGUCAUGUCAUGUAUCUGUUCUUUACCUGAGGGUUCUGACUUAAAAUUCAUAUCAUGCUAUCUCUGUCUUUUUUUUAGCUUUUGUCUUAAAUCUCAUAUCACCGGAUCUCUUGUUUUCUUUUAAGUCUCAUAUCAUGAAUGUGCCCUCCAUUUGUUGGUGUUUUUUGUUAUCUCCUCAUAACGCCCGAUGUCUGGUAUCAUAGGAUUUCACAUCAUCUUAUCUCAGUGUUUUGUUUUGUUUUGUUUUUAAUUUUGAGGUCAUUUUCAUGGUACCCUACUGCUUCUUUGUUUUUUUUUAGGUUGACAUAUAUAACAUAUUCCUAGCUUCUUUUUUUACGUCUCAUUUUUAUUUAUUUUGAGGUCAUUCUCGCCCCUUUCUUGAGUUUUUUACUUGAAUCUCAAUCUCAUAUAAUAAAGGCAUAUCAUAUUAUUGCUUUAAUGUUACGUCUCCUAUCAUACGCUUUCUGUUUUCAUUUGAUUUCUCAACUCCAAACUUUGCUUUUAGUCCUAAGACACUCUAUUUCAUUCUCAACACUCAUUUUGAUGAGAUACCACAAUAGACUUUGACUUAAUUAAGCUAAGCGCCUAAAUGGUCAAUUGUUGCAAAUGCAAUGAGAAGGCGUAUGAGAUUGACACAGGGGAGAGAAGCCGCCAUAAUCAAGUCUAUGAUUAAAGGUGGCAAUGAGUUUAACUUCUCAUUGCAAGACCGAGACUAGUUCUCAGUGAAUGUUUCUGGGGAAAAAGGAGACUUGACAGUAAAACAAAACACCCGGCGGCAAACACCAGAAACCUUCCCCCAUAACCACUCAUAACCAGACCAGAGUGGGCCACCUCAAUUUAUUCAGGGAAUUUCACAUCCUGGCGGUAUCGUCGGCUCUUCACCGUUGUGCCAGCGGCACGAUGAGACUUAUUUCCCACAAUCAGAGCGAGAGUGACGGAGCACAUGAAAGAGAAAAAGUCCGACUUUUGGUGCAGAGAGAAGGUAAACCCCCACAGUGCCGGCGUAUUUCCCCUUUGACGCCGUCACCGCAGGACACUAUGAGUGUUCACUUUCACUUUGAUGAUGCGCUCAACCGGCCACAACAUUAGGUACACCUGUACAAUCCAAUCCAGAUGAAUCAUAACAACAAUGUUCAGUUUUUCUCACGACUCUCUCAUCUGUUAUCCAGAUAUUCUCAUUGGAUUGUCCAGGUGUACAAAAUGUGUUCUGGGUAGAUCAUAUUUUUGGGGAUAAUUUUCCCCACUGCUUGUCUCCACGCUGAUGUGAGACGUGUGUGUUGAUGAGGUGGAAUGAGAUUCACCUGCCGAUGUUGACAAUGUGAUGAAACUGACAGGAAUGCAGGAACGCCUUCUCAUGGACUUCUGAAUGUGACAGAAACUUUGGGGAAAAGUAUCUAUUAUUUAUAAUCUACAACAAGGCAACCCAACUGGCCGGCCGCAAGCCAAAUUCAGCCUGGGAUUGGCAUCAAACAGUACAGUGGUCAUAUUAAGGAUCUUUGACUCCUGUUUUUGCAGUCGGUCCUUAAAAACAGCACUACAGCAGUCUGUCAUAUAGAGGAUCUUUGUCUGACGUUUUAUUUGCACUUUGUCCUUAAAAACACGAGCUUGUGAGAGUAUCUUUGACUCGUGUUUUUGCAGUAGGUCCUUUAAAAAUGGCAAAGCGCUCCUGUUGUAAAGAUGAUUUUUGACAAGCAUCAACAUAUUGCUUGUCUUUUAAUUUAUGACGACAUUUUGUGAAGUAAAAGUGUGAGUGUAUGUCAGGGCCUUCUAUUGACGUUAUAUGGAAAAGAAGAACAAUAGUGAAGGAAGAAGUCCAGUGCCCUUAGCUUUUCUUUGUCCUUCCUUAAAACAAUUUAGUUUCAAUAUCCCUGAUCGGGAUGGUAGCGGUGCAUGAUGAGUGUUUUUAUCAUAUUGCAUCGUGAGUGUUCCUCUUCUCACUUCAUCCAUUCUUUUUUUUACCCCGGGAAGGCUGGGAGCCCCUCUUUCGGCAAAAUAAGAGGCUCACAAUCCUUCACACCCUUUUGUUUUUUGGUGAUGCCCUUCUUGUCCUAAUUGUCUGUUUAUGUGUGUGUGUGUGUGUGUGUGUGUGUGUGUGUGUGUGUGUGUGUGUGUGUGUAUGCACCCUGCAGAACUCUCCCGCAACAGAAAAAUGUCUCCAAAUGGGAAAAGCGCAGAGCCUAAAGACAAAAGAGAGCACAGGUACCACUAUUUAUUAUUUUUGAUUGAAUGAUUACAAUGCAUUAGAUUAAGUUUAACUUGAUUUGCAUUGUGAUGUAGAUCAGGGGUUUCCAAAGUGUGGCCCUGGGGCCAUCUGUGGCACACUUAAUUUGGUGCACCUGCACGUUCUUAUGAUAUUUAUAAAAAUUCUGUCUUUAUGUAGACAAGAAUUUCCACAAUCGUUUUCAUUUGUAGUUUGUAGUAGCGUACAACUGUACUGCAUCAUACUGAAGGCUGUUUCUAAUAUUUUGGUUAACUUAUUUAGCCGUAUGAGAGGGUCCAAAUACUAGGAACAGCUCUAAGUAUGAUGCAUAUGUGCAUAUUUUGUUAAGUUGAUACCAUGGACACCAAGCAUUAAUAUCUUCGUAAAGGCAGAAUUUUCAAUACAACUCUUGUGCUGGAUCAUAUUAGAUUUGUGCAGAUGUGCCUAAUAAAGUGUCUGGUGAGUGUUUAGUGAUGUAAAAAGAAUGGCAGCGUGUCACUCAUUGCAUUUGCCACGAAAAUGUUACACUUUCAUUACGGUUUAACAAAAUGGCAGUUAUUGGCAUUGUAAUUUGCAAUGGUGUUGACAAUUGAUUAGUUGCUUUGGGCUAAGUCAAGCUUCCCAAUGUGAACAUUUGCCAGUUGUACUUAUCGUUUGUUCAAGCUUGGGAUCUGGACCAAAAGGCAAGUUUUAAGUUAGAUUUGUAGAAUUUUCUAACAUGUUUCUUUAAGCCAAGCUAAAUUGCGAUGAAUAAAUGAGCAGACUAGUGCAAGACGUUGCACAAGAAGAGGAAAAUUAAAAAGUUGUGUACUUGUAACUUGGACUUGCUCGGAGCGGACAGACUCGGGGGGUCAGGACCCGGCUCGUUGUUGGACGCAGAAUAGUGUUCCAGAGCCUGCAGGGAGGGGGCGGGGACCUGCUAAACGCUCGCCCACACUCAAAUGUGAGAUAUUCUAAUGAGCAAUCUGGCCCCUUCACAGCGCAGCCAUCCCACGUGUGACACCCCGGAGAGUCUAGCGGCUCUCCAGGAAAGAAAAAAAUAACGGAAAGGGGUGUCGGCAACGGGACAGGACGGGAUGUGAGUGACGUGUCCCCUAUUCCACUUUCUUCUUGAUUUUUAACGAGGCAUGGACCCCAACCUUUUACUGCUGGUAGGAAACUUGUGUUUUUUAUUGGUUUACACUGACUGCAUUAGAGAUGAUAUGAAAAUGAAAUACAUGAUGACAGUUCUUUACAAAGAUAAUAUUGUUCAGUUUGAUCGGUACAUUAGAGCGGUAUUCAUAUGACAAUAUUAUUAUUGUGCAAAAAUGAAAAAAAUGUAUAGAAAUAUAUUAUAAAUAUUAUAAUAAUAGAAUACAUAAAUGCCAGCAAUGAAUACAGAAACAAUGCAACUAAAGAAUACAUAGUACGUACAGUAAAAGACAAAAAUAAAAAUCUAUAAAUAAUACACAUAUAAUGAUAUCAAAUAAUUAGAGCUGCUGCAAAAGUGAAUUUCUCUUGGAGAUUAAUAAAGUUUCUAUCUAUCUAUCUAUCUAUCUAUAUAUAUAUAUAUAUAUAUAUAUAUAUAUAUAUAUAUAUAUAGAUAUAUAUAUCUACAGAUCUAUCUAAUAAAUGCAACCAAUACAAUUAAGAAACAGGUACAACGAACACAUACAAAAAUAUAUCAAUGUAUGGAAACUAUAAACACCACAUAUUGUAGAUGCAGUAAAAAGCAAAACAAAAAAUAAGGAUAAAAAAAUGAAUUAUUACAAUAGAAAUAAUGAAUACAUGGACCCAGUAAAUAAAUCAAUCCAAAAAGCCAAAAGGUAAAACAUUAGAUAAAUCUAAUAUAUUCUAAUAAUUUGAAAUACUGGCAAUUAAUAAAUAAAUAAAUCCAAUUAAUACAUGAUAAAAAAAUGAGAUAUCCUGAUACAUAGAGACGCUAUUAUUAAAAUAUUGAAUUGGAAUAUUUAGAAUGGUAUUGUUUCACUGAUAUAGUGAAAUAAAGAGCUCGUUAGCUGCUUAUUGUUCCAUUAAAAACCAUGUUCACAUACUGAGAUGUGUUUGUAAUAUUUUAGCCAUUCCAUAAGUGCACUAUGAGAAAGACAUCAGUAUAAUGCAGUGCAACCACCAUAACAAACAUAUUGUUAAGUUGAUGCCAUCAAAGCUGAGCAUUGUUAUCUUUGGAAAGGUGGAUUUGUUUUGUAUUUCAGCUCAGUAGUUUGUGUAGGUGUACCUAAUGUUGUGGUCCAUGAUAACAGUAGCUACAGUAAAAGUACACACACACACACACACACACAUUGUAUCGCCCACACACUCCCACAUGUUUCCCUUGCUUGGCCCCCUCCUUUUAGACGAGCGUACAUGACAUUAAAGAGGUGCUUUAAAUCAGCGUGGGUACAGCAUGUGGGUUGCAAGUGUGUUAUUGUGUGUUAUUGUGUGUGGGUGAAGCACUUUAAAAAAAAAAAAAAAAAAAAGCUCCCGAGUUGUCGGUUCGUGUAUGCGUGGUACCUCGCCCCGAGGCUCUGGUCCCGGGCCGGGCCGCCUACCUCCCACGCUGGGGUACGGCCGGGGGUUGAGGAGGAGGCGGGUUGGUAAUGGUUGUUGUUGCUGAGUGGGCCGACGCUUGUGAGUCAGCCCUGAAUGAGAGCCCUCUGAGGGGAAAAACAUGCUGCUGGAGAAGGGUUAUUUAAUGUCGAAGAGGAAGGAGGAAGUGGUAGAGUUGUUGGAUAGGAAAAGAAAAACAGCGUGAUAUGAGGAAGACUCACUCAUACUGUAUAGCGACACCGUACAUGGGGGAUAUUACAGGCACAGAGGCAGAAGCUGUUACAUUUUGGUGCAAAACUCAAUUCAAAUUAUGCAGAAUUAUGCAAAAGUGAUGUUUUUAAUGAUGUUCUAACACUUAUGUGUAAUAAGCACCAAAUGCGAGAACAAUUUCUCUCGCUCGUUUGCUCCUCUUUUGAGAGAACGCUCGCAUUUCAUGUUCUGGGUUGUGGGCUACACAUCCUAAAACAAAGCCACCUUCCUCACGGACAUGGUAUCACCUCUGACCCACUCCUAGGUAGAUGAGCCCACCACUUCAAGUAUGCACCCAACACUUCACAGAGAGAAAAAAGGCUUCGCUACACAUCUUAAAAUGCAGCCUGGAGCUUUCCCAACUAGUUUUAUCAUUUUGUUUUUUUCAGCAAAGCAUGAUGUUGCUGUUAAAAUGUUAAUGUAAUGUUGUUAGUGUAAGGUUAGCUCACAUAGCUCUGAUAGUGUCGUGAAAGUUUGUUGUUUACGUUGUUUACGUGAUUUGUGACAUCUAUUACAUUGGACAAUGCAGUGUUACAGUGUAUGUAUGUAUGUAUAUUAAGUAUGUAAAGCAUACAAUAGUGCUUCUUGGAGACACACGGUGUCAGAGACAGGCGUGGACAAACACAGCUCAUUAGCAUUAAAGCUACAGAAACACAAACAGCGUGUCCCCAUUAGGACUUACUAAUAUGCACCUUUAAACUCUCUGAAUUCCAGCAUUAAGACUACAUUUUGGACAACACAUUUCUAAUAAACUGUUGUGUAUUGUUGAAAAUUAUUAUAAUAUGGGACCUUUAAAAAUAAAUAGCAGGUUCAUGGCUGUUGCCAAAUGCUUGAGCAUUGGCUGAGGUUUUAGCUCCUUGAGCCUUCCCAGCGACACUUCAAAGUCAAAGCACCGUCAAAAAGAACGCUUUCAUCCAAAAGAUGCGUGUAAUUUGCUCUUCAGUCUUUCGUCGACACACGUGACCUGAGUAGCUUGGCUUCCAUUUCUGCGUACUGCAAACACGCUUUCUCAGAACUGGAAGUUGGGGUGUGGUGGGCGGAGGAGGGGAGGAGGGGAGGAGGGGAGGCAGUGAGCUCAGCAGCAGCAGCGUCAGCAGCAGCAGCUUCCUUGGUUGUGCCAGUCCUGAAGAUAAUGGAAGGUGGUUCUCCAGGAAAGUCGCAGGGAGUCCACCAGUCUAGGGUGUGGAGGCUGGAGCCAAGAGUCCAGAGAGGGUGUGGUGGGGAAAUGCUGGUUGACAAUGUGGGUGUGUGGGGUUAGGCCAGGUGGAAGUGAGGGGUGGAAGAGUAGUGCCCCCGCGUAGUAAUACCCUCCACUGGCCGCCGGGGGGAGCUGGCGCGCGAAACAAGUGGUCCUCGGAGACACCGCGCAUUAUUACACACACAUUCCCGGCGGCGUGACCCCUCACCGCCUUGGCAGCGCUCGCCGCUCUCGUGUGCUGUGAAGGCAGCACAGUCGCUCAUUCACUCGCUGGAGAUGUUUUUCCCCUUCUCGCACCUCUGAAGGGAAAAGGAAGAGGAAAGGGGGGAGGGAGAGAGGAGGGGGGGCGGUGAUGACGAAGUGGAGCGUUGUAGCAAUGCACUCCUAUAGAGUCUCAUUGUGGCCAUACUGUCACUGUUUACUUAAUAUACAGUGUUGGACAGUACACCCCUCACAUUUCAUGUUAUCUUCUCAAGGGUCAAUGCUAUAGAAAUGAAUAUACAGUCAAACCUCGGUUUUUGUACACCCCGCUUUUUGUAUGAAUCAGUUUUUGUCCAAAAUGUUGGCACUGUCUUGGUUUUUGUACAGAAUUGCAUGUAACAAACUGGUUCAUUUGCCCUGCAAUGUAGCGUUCAACAAAAUUGAGUGCCCCAACAAAGCACCCUAAGCGUUGCUGAUAUACUGUCCCCGCAUUUUUUUGGGGGGGUAUGACUGCUAAAUAACCCACCAUGGGGCCAAGAAAGUUGUGAGUGCCAGCACUUUGAUACAGAAGAUGACAAACACUAUUGAAUUUGAUCUCGGUAGUCCGCAUCAACAAUAAGAUCCAUUCAUUUGUCACUGGCAAUUUUCUGCAUGUGUCAAGAAUAGCGCAUUAACGGCAGUGACUAAUUUAUUUCAUUAAUUACGUUAAAAACAUUAGCGUAAUUACCGCAUGUGCAAGCCACACCUGUCUGUUAUGACGGUAGGCGAAGGCACAAUAGCAUCCCCACAUAGAGGCUGACGCUCUUUUCUAACUUUAGUCUGACCUGAACACAUAAUCAGCAGUUUAUUCCAACAGCACACAUGCACCACCAACUCACAAACACAUCUCUUGCCCGCUCGUCAUCGGAACGAAGCUUCAUCAGCAUCGCAACAACAUCUUCGUUCUGCGUGGUUGUGUGGUCUAAAUAAACGGACAGACAAAGAAAAACAGUAAGUGGAUAUUCUUAUCACGCUCUAACUCUUACUGCGGAAGUACAAUUUGCCAGAAGAUACGUCUACACUCAAAACAUAGGAGUUCAAUUUAAAUUACCUGACGUCUUUGAACGCAACUCCUCAUGGCUCAUAAUGACGGUUAAAGUUUGAUUCAAAGAGGCGAGUGUUGGACAAAUACAUUUUCGGACGUGUGUUGUCUUUUAGUUAAAUGAGUUAAAUUUUUAAAAUUUUCCGUGCAUUUGGAGCCGUUAAUACAUACAAAUAUACAUCAUUGCGUCCUGUCAUUUAUCUUUCUGUACAUAAAAUACAGUAAAAACGGGCAUAUUUCACACAUAGUUGCAAAUGGUGAUUAAUCAUGAUUAAUUCAUUUGAAAAUUGUGAUUAAUUAGAUUAAAAAAUGUAAUCAUUUGACAGCCCCAACAGAAUAAUUGGAUUUACAUUAUUUUCUGAGUGAAACAGCCUAGGUUUUCAUAUGUUUCAGGUUUUGUCUAACCUUUUGGAAGAAAUCAAUAACGAAAACUGAGAUACGACCGUAUUUGUACUAAUACACUAGCCCCUUUUGGGAAGAUCUGGGUUCGAAUCUCCGCUGGGCAUCUCUGUGUGGAGUUUGCGUGUUCUCCCGUGCGUGCGUGGGUUUUGUUCGGGUACUCCGGUUUCCUCCCACAUUCCAAAAACAUGCAUGUUACGUUAAUUGGUGACUCUAAAUUGUCCAUAGGUAUGAAUGUGAGUGUGAAUGGUUGUUUGUCUAUAUGUGCCCAGCCAUUGGCUGGCCACCAGUCCAGGGUGUACCCCGCCUCUCACCCGAAGUCAGCUGGGAUAGGCUCCAGCAUACCCCCGCGACCUUAGUGAGGAUUAGCGGCAUAGAAAAUGGACGGAUGUGUUUCCCCUUUUGUUGUUCACUCUGCAGUAUAUCAUGCACUGUUGUGACUCUUCCGACAUUAAAUCGACGUCCCAUCCCACCUAGUCAUACAGAGUCUCAGUCUCCAUCAGAAUAGCACUAAAAUGGCGUUCGAUGAUGUUGUGACACUUCAUGGGGCGUUGUAUGUGUCCGCAGUCAAUCCAGCAGCUACCCUACAUGACUCAGGCAGAACAAAUGCUACCUUUUCACCCCCCAGUUUAUCACCUGUCUUAAAAAUAUGAGGACUGCGUACUACUCCAACAUGCCUCUGAAGGAAAAAAAUGACACAAUGAAAGUGUUUGCUAGUCCAAUUAGCUACAGAACUAUUUAAAGGCUCCAUAUUCUGGUAUUUGUCACUCAUUUUAAAUGGAAUCUCAGAUCAUCGACAAGUGUUUUAGAUGUCUGUUGACCAAAAUUUUGCCUUGAUGCUGAAAUGUUGAGUUUAAGAGUACUUUCAUUAAGCCCUACUGGGAACACACUGUUGUGUGUGUCUGUAGCUUUAAUGCCAAUGAGCUGUGUGUGUCCACGCCUGUGUGUGUCGCCAAGAAGCACUAUUGUGUACCUUGGCCACAUUUUACAUACACACUGUAACUCUGCACUUGUCCAGCGUUAUAGAUGCCAUACAUCACGACAUAACACUAAGGAAUGGGACAGGAGGACACAGAUGUUAGCAGCACUAGCAUAGCUAUGUGAGUUACAGAGCUAACAUUACACACACAUUUGAACAUCAUGCUAGGCUAGGUGAUUCCCUGAAGAAAAGAAAACUUCCACACAGCUCCCAUGUCUGGAGCUGACUGACCAAGAGUUUAGCAGAGCUCUGGGUUUUAUUUUAAGCUAUGCAGCGAAGCCUGAGGAAGGUGUUUUUUUCCCUACAACAUCAAAAGCGACUGCUUGAGUAAUCUUUUCUCAAAAUGGGAGCAAACAAGUUUACAAGCUACAAUACCACAAUCCCAAGCUGUUAAAAAGUGUAGAAUUACCCUUAAAUAGUUGUACUAUUCUUGGGCUAAAUCCAAAUAUGUGUGUUUGUGCGUGCGUGCGUGCGUGUGUGUGUGUGUGUGUGUGUGUGUGUGUGUGAGGUGUCAUCAUGGAACAUUCUUGUGUCACCCAAAAGAAUCACAGAUGAAGCUGCAGCGGUGUACCUGCGUGUGCGAGGGGUUACUACAGGCUAAUGCACUCUCACACAAACACACACACAGACGGACAGCAAUGUAGAGCAAAGCCCAGUGGGCACAGAUAAGACACGCAGUCAUGCCUUGCCAGCGUGACCAUGACAUCACAGUCAGGAUGUGAGUUGGCCACAAACACACUGGCCUAAUAUAGUCAGUGUAGGGUCCUUCAAGCAUGCCCCCUUCCCCCUAUCCUCCGUUGGAAGCCAAAGGAAGUUAACACGACACUCCUACAACCUAGACCUCCUGCAUGGUUGUACUAUACCAGGGGUGUCCAAAGUGCCGCCUGGGGGCCACCUUCCUCCAGCAGCUUGUUUUUUAUUGACCCUCGGCAUAUUGUAAAACUAAGAUAAAUUCAUAGUUGAGAUAUAUUAUUAGAUAUUACACUAACUUCCUUUGUCACCUCUAACACAAAGCUAAAAUGUGGACGUUUUGUCCAGAUAGUUUAGAUAGAGUAUAUUGACCUGCACUGACCUGCACUGGAUUGCUUUGAGCAUCUUUCAUGCGCAAAAUGUAUCAGUGGCCCUCCGCAUUCGUUAUUGUUUCUGCACGCGGCCCUCGGUGAAGCAAGUUUGGUUGGAUGUCUCUGUACGAUACAGUGGAUCCCCGUGGGGAUACCAUCCAAGACCCACUGGCGAAUAGCUAAAAACCACGAAUAAUGGACGCACCCCAAAAAUUGCCUAUGUUUGAUACUUGAACCAUAUAAUAUGCCUGUCACAGUUAUGAAACGCAUUUCAAAUUUGGUUGUACACAUGAAGAAACUAUUACAGUAUACAUUAUUGUACUUACAAAACGUGCAGUUACAUAACAGCACGUCUUGUCUAAACAUCUUCCUGCCGGAAAACUGAGUUGAUUGACUUGUGAGACAGUGCCCUCUGCUGGAUUCAGAGCACUCUUUUUCCUCUGCAAAUACAGGAGCUCCAUCAAACCACUUUUUAUUGAAGAUACCAUAAAAGAAAUUACAGUAAUUAUAAUUUGAAGCAGAGAAAAUAAAUCCAAGAAUAUGUGAAUUGCAAGUAAACCGGGAUCUAUUUUAAUGUGAGAUUUAAAAGUCCAGGUCAAUACUCCUCCACACCUGUAGGGAGCCACAAUGUGAAUUUAAAACUAGGGUUGUCCCGAUACAACUUUUUUGAUACGGUACCGAUAUUAUAGGCUUUAAUAUCGGCUGAUACCGAUAUGGAUCCGGAUCAUACAGUCUCUGUUACAGUGAAUGAGUUUUUGCCGUCCCGUGGGAGUGUCGCGUGUGAUGCCGCUUCAUAUGCGCGAUGAGGUUUGUCGUAUUAAACGUCCUUAUUUCGGUGCCACAAUGGGAAACUUGUGCAUGACAAGUUUUCCACUCAGCUGCAAAGUCUUUUUACUGCCACACGGCUGACAUCACUGCUGCUCCAUGCUACUUUGUUAGCACGCCAGCAAACACUGUUGUUGCCAUCACGUGCUCUCUAUCCGGUGCCUGCUGGACAGACGUGCUGGGGCGGAGUCCUGAAUCGACCGCUUGGAUUGGAUUGCCAAUAUCGGAGAUGUGAGAUGCGGGCCGAUAUAUUCCAAUAUUGUUUUUUUUUUUUGUUGAUAUCGUCCCGAUAUCCCAUAUCAAUAUCGACUCGGGACAUCCGUGUUAAAAACUGGAAUGAAGGAGACGCAUCCACUGUAUUCUACUGAGUAUUUGGGGUUUCAGCGCCUUCUGCUGGAUGUGGUUGGUUAGUCCACCCACACUUGGUCCCAACGCUGCUCAGCAAUUUUAAUAUCGGCACCUCAGUUUGGAUGCUCAUCAAAAUGUAACGAGGUCCUGCACAGCACAUGUGCCACAGUUCCACAAUUUUUCAUGUAAACUAGAUAAGCGGGAAAGAAAAUGGAUGGAUUGUCAUUUUGAAAAAUUGUUGUCAUUUUGUUUCUUACCUCAGGUGUCGGCUUUUCUUACUGAUCAUGGCUGAUCCAACCCAAUCUAACCCAAAAUGGAGCCACAAAAAAUUUCGAAGUGGUAGCAUUUUGGUCAAGAAAUUGAGCAACACUAUUGAAUGCAGGAAAUAACUCAUGGCAAAACAUAAAGGUGGUGUCUGUGUUGAUCUCGCUGCCACAUCGUGUCUUUGCCUCACGUCUUCGAUGAAGGUAAAAUGAACCUUAAAUGUUUAUUUAUCCCUUUCAUGUGCCAUUGAAAGGCAUUUAGAGUAGUUUUAAGCAUCUACAAUUAUAAUUGUAAAGCUAGAAAAACUCGUGUUUUGCUGACAUCCGGUUCCUGUUUCCAUUUAUGAGCAAGCUGCUAACAAGGACGUUUUUUGAUUCAAUCCCAGCCAUUUUUCAAAAGACAACCCCUAAGGCACACAGAAUAUUGCGUUCCAUGGCUGUAUGAACAUGAAAAGAAAGAUUAGACUCUCGUCUUUCAUCUGAAAAAAAAACUUUGUUUCUACAUCCUUCCAUUCUUUUGUAAUCAGCAGGAGAACGUGGGUAAGUUUCAGGAAAAUAUCAGUUCCCAACAAGAAAAGGGAGAAAAACAUCUUUUUGUGAAAAGAUACUGUACAAUUUCAACGCAUAACUUUUACUUUGACACCAUUUUGUUUACUUUUAACUAUACCACAAUGUAAACAAUACAAAAAAGGGAUGUUUUACAUCAAAAUGACAAUUUAUGUACAAAUAUAACCCUAUGAAAUAUUUACCAUUUUCACAUUUGGAACUAAACUGUGUGUGCACGCAUGUGCACGAGCAUGCGCACGUAUAAAUAGGCCUUUGAGAUCGGGCGUUCGGGUUUAUGGAAAGGUAUAAAUACAUCCUUGGUAUUGAAUGAGUUAAGAAGACAGUUGCAUUUACAUGGUGUAUUAAUAAGACGACAAGACGUGUGCUAUAUUGUAUCCUAACCGGAAAAUGUUGCCCUAAAUUUUUUACGUUAACCAAUAGAGACGCUAACCAAGGCGUACACUAACUGAGGUUCCACUGUAUAUUCUGAUUAGGACAUUUCAGUACAAAAAAAGAGGACCAUAAGACAACAAUUUACAUAAAAAAACAUACAAAUCUAAAAAGUUCACCUUUCGUUCCAGACUUCCCGACAGCUGGCAUUUUAACCCUAGUUUAUGUUUCCUUCCCUUAGCCCCUUUGUAAUAAUAAUAAUUAUUAUUCUAAUAAUAAUAAUAAUAGAUCGGAUUUAGACAGCGCCUUUCAAGAAACCCAAAGCACUUUUUUUCUUCCCCCUGUUGUUUGAAUUCCUUGACCUUAUCUCCGUAACUCUUGUUUAUCUGCACCCAUGUCAGUAGAACGUCUCUCGGCCAUUAAACUGCCUGUGAAGCGCGAGCGCGGCAGAAUUCCCAGGCUGCUCGGCUGCCUGAGUUCACACCUUUUUGUCCACAGGAAUCUCAGGAAUCCCCAGCUUCCUUUUCCAUUGUGUGUGUGUGUGUGUGUGUGGCAACAUGAAGGAAAGGCCCCCGCCUGUGUCGAAAACGCAUCUCCGCCCUUGUAUCCACCCAGAGAAAGCGAGCAGGCGGCGCUCACAAUAGACUGAGUCACAUUCUAAAAUGGCAAAGUGCUCCAUUUUGUUAAAACAACAGCACAAAAAAAAUGAUUUGCUCCGAAACUUGAAUGUCACAUUUAAUGCCAAGAUUUUUUUUUUUUUAAAGCAAUUUGCUCCGAGUGACUCAUUGCUUGUUGCAGGCUUUUAGCACAAAUAACCCAGAAAACUGGGAAAAUCAUUAUUAUUAUAAUUGUUAUUAUUAUUAUUAUCAUUUCUCCAUUGUUAUUAAGUGACACACAGAAUUGUAUUUUGUGUCUUUAACUGGACAUUCUUUCAAGCUCAUAUUGGAUACUUGGAGACGUACUUGGAUAUUGCACAAAUAUAACGUUCCGCUAAAAAGACUAUAAUAAUAUGUCACUUUUAUACUAAGUACAGUGUAACUUUGUACAAAUAUUUUACUCAAUAAACAAAAUAAUAAUAAUAAUGAGAGUUUUGGCGGUCAUGGCUGUCAGUGUGUCAGAGGGUCCUGUUGUACUUGAAACUACAAACAUGGCAGACAUGUUACUCUAAACACUAUAUUUUGCAGUGUCAAACUAGGGGCUAAGGCUCAUAGAGAAAUUAAUUAGUUUAAUGAAACAACGCUUUUUAAAAUAUGGCAUUUUUCAUACAAUAUGCUACAUUUUUUAUACUUGAAUAAUAAUCAUGUGAAUACUCCGCAAACACGGCUGGUAUUUUGUGCUGAAAACACUAUAUGUGAUUACUUACAGUAUGACUUACAAAUGAAUGCUACAGUUCGUCAAGACAACUGAAGAGCGGUUAUUAAAUAAUUUAUGUUAUAAAAGUUGUUCUAGCAUUCUAGCGAGUCCUGUCAUAAAACAAACACUCCACAAACACGGCUGAUAUUUUGUGCUGGAAACACUACAGUAUAUUCUGCAAUAAUUCCAGUGUUUUGGGGGUUUUAGGGGAUUGAGUCAAAGAGGAAGCCAUUAAAAAAACAAAGGCUAGUAACAAUAUGUCAUUUUAUGGACAAAAUCCUACUACAUUUCAUCAUUAAAACCGAUAAGCACUUUCAAAGCGGUUUUUAUGCCCUGCUCGUCCUCUAAAAGCGAUUCUUGCCACAGCAAAAAAACGCAACAUUCUAGCACGCCACAAGGAUGACUAACGAGAAAACAGAGUCAAACUAAAAAUAGCCCUCUUUCUACUAGUUACCGUGCGCUAUUUUGUGCCAAAUCCUACUAAAUUCUGUUGACAUAACGCUGAAUAAUGAGGGCGGGAGUUAGGCGUUUAUAUGACUCCUGAUGUUGUUUGGCAGUUCUGGCGUCAUUUGAUCCGCUGUGGUCUUGACUCACCCGCCUGUCCGAGUCCGGCCACCCAUCAGACCCAGCGAGCGAAACUCUCACAGACCGUUUCAUUCAUCGGAUCGACACGCGACAGGCCGUGAUUCACGCACACCCACUCGCUCUCUGUCGUCAGUCGGAGCCAGAAGCCGAGGCCUUUUGCCAAGAUGGGAUCGCUUUCGAGUCUCGACCACAGAGUCUUUGAAAAGGUUGCUUGCCAACCUUCAGAUUUCAGGUUUUUUUCCACUGGGUUAUUAUAAAUUGUACAACCUGUGAGUACAGUAUGUACAUAUAUACUAUAAAUAUGAUGUGAUGAACAUUUGAUAGAAUAAUUAUUGUGAUCAAACCUACAGUAUGUUUCAGUUUAAGGAAAGGAAACGACCUAUUAUGGUAAUGACUUCUUCCUUUUCUUACGUUUGUUGUGCAGUUGGCUCAGGACUUUUAAUCACGUUAUUACCGUAAACACGGCAAAUACAACUAUGGCUUAAAUAUGACAUUUUGAAACGGGAUGGCAACCGUCUGAAAUUGUAUCUCAGUUCAUUGAUGAACAUUUUCAUGUGUUCAAAAAUGGGUUGAUAAAUGGCUAUUUUUGUUUUGCGUUUAUUUUUAUCUUGAGUUGGGUGUUCUUCCAGCAACAUAUUGUGUCUGGAUAUGCCACAACCAGGCUACAUUAAUAACGAUCUUCAUUUUGCUAUGAAUUUAUGAAUUUUUUCAUAAUUUCAUGUCAGGAUUAAGUAAACCAAUUUCAAGGUAACGUUAUAGAAAAAUCAUGCUCAAUUCUGUUGAAAAAAGCAUUUUAGCUGUAAUUAGCCCUUUUUCCAAUCAUGGACAAACUGCAUGUUUUCUGACGGAGACUACAAACAUGGCGGACGUGCUAGGCUAAACAUGCUAUUUUUAAAAAUAAAAUGCUUUCUUAAUAACCUUAAAAUAUGACCAAAGUUGACAAGCAUUUAUUUUCUCUUCAGUCAUAAAAGUUAUUGUAGAAACAGGAGCGCCAUGGUGCUUGAGCGUUCGCGUAAACAUGCUAACAUUCCACCCACAUGACAGGGAUGCUAAACAGUCCUAUAAGACAGUGAUUGUGUGUCGGCGCACACAUCAUAUCAGGUGCACUGCAGGAAAUGAUCACAUUUCCCUUGAUUGGUCCAAAAAUGAUGAAUUUACUGCAAAUAAUGUAGUAAAUCAAAACAAUGGUACUGGCAGAGUAAAUCAUUUUUGAGGUGGUCCUUGGUGUGCAAAGUUUGAGAACCGCCGGCUUAGACCAACGCAAGACUCAAAACUAAAUCAGACCAAAGCUAAGAGCAAAUUAGUGCUUCAAGGACGUUUCCUUCAUUCGGACCUGUCUGUCUGUCUGUCGUGUGAUAGACGUUGGAGGGGAUGUGUGAGAGUUAUGUCACAGUGAUGUUAUCUUGGGCAACAACAUGAUCUAAGUCAGUGGUGCUAAAAUUUUGGGUCGGGACCUCCGCAGCCAGCCGCAUGAGAUCAUCCUAAAGCAGGGUGGGAAACGCAAGAGCAGCUUUAAAAAGCGUAAAUGCUCAUCUUGCUCAGCGUGAGGCAUGGAAAUGUUCAAUUGAGGCUCCCAUCAGUCAAAGGUGGCUCGGGAUUAGAGGGCUAUUUGGGUCAAACGUCCUGAGCAGUGAGUCACAGAGGUUAUAGAGAAGUUAUGAAUGAAGGCCCUACAAAGGCGGUGUGUGUGUGUGUGUGUGUGUGUGUGUGUGUGUGUGUGUGUAACAUGGGCGCAGCAUUGGCUUGGAUGAGUCACAUGGCCUUCUGUGAGUAAGCAGGCAGCUAUGUCAUUCCUGAAGGUUGCAGACUCCCAUGGAAACCUACUCGCAGGCCGAGCCCCCAAGAGCCGACUAGGGAGGGAGGGAGCGCGUGGGUGUGGAAGGGUGUGGGGGUGAAGGUCCAAACCUUUUGAUAGGUGUGGUUGUCGGUGCGUGGGGGUAGAAUGGCAGGAUGUCAGAAAGAGUUGGCAGAAGAUGGAGGGGUGAGCUGCCAGAGGGUGGAGGUCAAAGGUUGUUCUCAGGUCAGCACAUGGCAGUGACCUCCACCAAGGUCCUCCCUGGUCACCCGCCUCUAGGGGGCUUUGUUGGUGUCACUGUUUUAUCUCACAAUGUUUUUUUGUUAAGCAAGACAAAACUACUACUAGUUUCACUUUCCUUCCACCAAAUGUUUGGACACACUUCUCAUUCAAUGCGUUUCCUUUAUUUUCAUGACUAUUUACAUUGUAGAGUCUCAAAACGAUGAAUGAACACAUGUGGAAUUAUGUACUCAACAAAAAAGUGUGAAAUUGCUCUAAAUAUGUCUUAUAUUUUAGGCGUAUAUUUUAUGUCUUAUCAUUUUUUUGAUAGCCCUGCAAACCCUUUGUGUUCUCAAUGAGCUUCAUGAGGGAGUCACCUGAAAUGGUUUUCACUUCACAGGUGUGCCUUGUCAGGACUGCUUUCUGGAAUUUCUUGCCUUAGUAAAGGGCUGGGGAGCAUGGGGUUGUAUUUAGGGAUGUCCGAUAAUAUCGGCCCACUGAUAUAAUCGGCCUGAUGUUAGCAUAAAAAUGUAAUAUCGGCCAUAAUCUGUAUAUUUUAUUUUCCCUAUAAUGAAAGCCGAUGUAGCCCUUUAAGCGCCAACUUGAAAAAUUGCUGCAUUACGUACUUAAUGCGGUGGCGUUCACAAAUUGGUGAGGAAGCGUUAACUCUUAAUUUGGCAAGCAGAGUAACAUCAGGGCUCACAAUGAACUUAUCAAUUUCACAGAAAUUGUCGGGGUGGGGGGGUUCCACUCCACAUACCAGUCUUACAGUGUCUUAAAGAGCUAAAACGUCACACAGCAACACGAUAGGUAGAUAACAGACAAGACACUAGCAAGAAACAAUAAAAGAACCAAAGACCAAUACCACGCAGAACCAACAACUAAUGUGACCUCUAAACAUGUAACUUAGCAGCCAUUUACAACAACAGUACAGCAAAGCAUGCUAGGAAACAGGAUACGUAGACGCAGCAUUAAGUGCUGACGACGUGGCCGCCAUAUUGGAUGUGGCAGGGCUGCGCUGUAAAUGAAUACAAGUAAAUGUACUUACUUUCAUGAAGCGCCUUUCUCCAAAGAAUUGUAAGUUAAUGCCUCUCGUUUAUGCAUUCACACAUGCACUAAUUAACUUUGGCAAACGUUAGGCACCAAAAACAACGUAUUUGAGCUUCUCAGAUAGCUAAGAUAAAAAAUGUAUUGAUCCCACACAGGAGUAAUUCAUAUUACAUCAGUGAUAGAGCACAAAGUUAUGCCGAAAAACUACACCCAAUAAACAAAUAAAUAUAUAUAUAUAUAUAUAUAUAUAUAUAUAUAUAUAUAUAUAUAUAUUUAUUGUUUAUUAGUUAGCAGAUUUCCGCCACAUUACGCCAAUUUUGAUGAGCGAUAGGGCCCUUUUUUGAUUGUCAGCUGGAUUUCUCGAAAAUGACUGAACUGUCUCACUUAAAAUUUAGUGAAGGGACGUUGCUAAGGAUGACCCCCUCACAUUUUGGUGUUGAUAAAUAGGCACUUUUUUAUCCCCGUUAAGCAGUUUUCUAGGAGGGGCGUCAUUUUUUUGGUAAUUGUAUCCCACCGGCUAGGGCGGGGUUCCCCAAUUAGUUUUCACAGAGAUCAUGGGGAGUGCAAUGCAAUGCAUAGUUUUUGUGGGCCUCUGUGGGCUGGUUGUGGCCCCCAGGUGGUCUAUUGGACGUACUGUACUGUAGGUGAACUAGCGUUUGGAUUCAUAGUCGUGUCUGUGGAUUUUUGAUGUUGUUGUGCGCAAAACCCAGGUCACUGUUCGGCUGGCGGUCACAUUUAGUGUGUCUGCAGCGGUAUUGAAGACGUCAACUUUUUGACAAAGCUACCCAAGCUUUUUCCAAAGAGGGCUGCAUACAGAAAAAUGGAAAAAAAUGCCCUUUUGUUAAAUAAGCACGCAAAAAUCAAUCGAAUACAAAGUUGUUGGUAUUCUAAGAAGCCAUCUAACUUUUGAGAUAGUUUUGUCUUUUAUGAGCAGCCUAAAUUGUCCUUCGUAAUCAUCUGACGUGGGUUUAAUUUUAUUUUUGGAAUAUGCCCAGGGCCAAAAACAAAACAGCGCUGCAAAUGGCCCACGGGCCAGACUUUGGACACCCCUGGAUUUACGCAUUAAUCCUACUGACAGUGGGGGCUAUCUAUGUCAGUGUAAUGUGGCCCACACAGGUCCUUUUUCUACAGGCGUCCCAGCAGCUCUGGUGCCGGGGGUUUCCUGCCUUACAGUCCACACACACACACACACACACACACACACACGCACACACACACACACAGAGGCGGCCCUCCCUAUUUUCUCCUCCUCCUCCUUCUUCAGUCUUCCCUCCUCUCUCCUUUUUUUUCUCAAUGGAUGCCCUCUCACUAACCUCAAUUGAGAGCCGUGUAACAGGACACUGCCCCCAUCGGGCUGCACUGUGGACCGCCCCCUCCUCCUUCUUUUUUUUCAUUUGAAGAGCCACACUAUAAAGAGCAGUGAUCCCGACUAUAUGUAUGUGUGUGUGUGUGUGUGUGUGUGUGUGUGUGUUAGGGAGUUAGAGGCGGCGGCUGCCGCCACUGCUGUGAAACAUGUGAUAGCGCUGCUUUGGCGGAGCGUUCUCUGGGACGUUGAACAACUCCAGAACUCCGGGAAAGCACCUUUAGCUCAGAGGGAGCCUCAUAUGCUGUAUUGUAUAUAUUUCCAGUACUUAUACUUAUACUAUAUAUAGAGACUACUGCGUGUGAGCCUGUUACUGAUUACACUUGGGGAAUGCAGGAAUAAAAAGACAGUGAUAGGAAGAAGAAGAAGAAGGAGUGUGUGAUUUGUCCAAAUGGUGACGUGGGUGAGACCUUCUUACCCAAUAGCCUCUCUCUCUCUCUCUCUCUCUAUUUCUCUAUCCUCCUCCUGAUGGCUUGAAGUUAAAAAGCCGGAAUCUCCACUCCGAAGCAACUUAACGGAGGACUCUAGUACGCGUAAAGGGGAACAGGAUAGGACGGAAUGCUGUGGUUCACCUGGUUCCUAAACACGGAUUGGAAACUUCCGACUUCUUUCCCUGACGUUCUGACGGAGGACCACCUGCUGGAGGUCGCCUUUAAGAGAGACAGACUCACUCGGAACCCCUUUGGCGCCCUCGUCCUUGUCCUAUCACCAUUCGGCGGCCAUCACUUGCUCAGUAGGCAGUGUAGAUCCUGUGUAGCAUCAGCAGCUACAUCUGGCUACUGGGUCUCUGGUGGCAAAGCCUACUUCCUGGUCCUUCCUUGCCCUCCUGAUUGGCUGUGGCGUCAGAUCCUGUGACCCCCCACUCCCCUGCAGACAGGAUGUUCUCUGUCACAACCCCACAAGAGGCCCUUGUCUUUUUCACCCCGCUUCUUCCUACAUGGAUUUGCUUUGUCCUGAACCUGGCAUACAAUGUAGAUUUCUGUGUGCUCCAAUUCUACAGCUACAUUGUCUGCUGGGUUUCUGGCUAGCAAUAUAAUCAACUGUCAUAGAAUCAAUACGCAUCAAGCAAUAACAACAUCAACAUCUCCGCACAAGGUAAGCCGGCUAUGGCACUGAAAUAAAAUGUUCUGCCAUUGAAAUCUUCCAAUAAAAACACCUUAUUGCUCAUUGUGGGUUCUGUCAGUUUGUCCAAGUGUGUGGGAUUGUUGAUCAACUGUGUCACUUAGUUGUGACCAGCAGAGGCGCUGUUGAUUGAACUGCUUGGUUCAUGUUAUGGUAAGUUGAGCUAGUGUACAUUCACAACUCCUAUAGGUAGCAUGCAAACAAGAGUUCAGAACAUUCAGAGUGAUUCUGCCAUCCCAAUAAAAAUAAUAUUUCACAAUUUAUUUUCAUUUUGUCCAUAGUUGAUCGAGCGAAUGUAGUCCAAUGCCCAUCCAUCGUGUUUCCUAGCCUUUUCAAGCGGCCAUUUUGGUUUUCUGCAUUCCAUUUAUGAAUAAAAAUAUGGUUUGUUGCUUGAGUCUUUUUGGGUUUCAUCACUUCAAACUAAAUGACCUUUUUGAGGGCUUUAACAUAUUCAACAACUCGCCAAAUUUUGCAAACUUGUGUAUUCUGGAGUAGCCCGCCCCAGCUAGCGUGUGUUUUGGUUAACGUCAAAAAUGUAUGCCAAAGUUUUGGCUCUGUUUGCUUACAUUCUCUGGUUAGCGUACAAUAUGUCUCUUCAUGUUGUUAAUACGCUUACACAGAGUCCAACCGUGUUCAUGUCAUUUUAGAACAAAACGUUCCUGUUAGCAUCCUAUUAGCUUAAAACCGGUAGGAACCGGUAGUCAGCUCCGUCACCGGUCGAUGAUGUCAGAAAUGUUAACAUCAAACACGUCUUUCUAGUCUUACAAUUGUAGUUUUACAUGCAUAAAACAAUUGUAAAUGCAUAUAAAUGAUGAAUGAAAGAGAGAAGUGAACAUUUAAGGUUACUUUUACCAUCACUGAAGAUGUGCAUGUUCCCAAGACACCGUGUGGCAGCGACAUCAACACCGACACCACCUUCCUGUUUUGUCAUGAGUUAUUUCUCGAAUUCAAGAGAGUUCCUCACCUCCUUUAUCCAAAAUGCUGGCACUUGCAACUUUAUUUGGCUCCGUUUUGGGUUAUUCAGGUGAGAAACACUAUUGAAUUCAAGAAGUAAUAAAAAAGGAAGGCGGUUUCUGUGUUGAUCUUGCUGCCACAUUGUAUCUUUGGGAGCAGUCACGUCAAUGAUCACGUUUACCAGUGAAGGUAAAAGUAACCGUAAAUGUUCAUGUAUCCCAUUCAGUCAUCAUUUCUAGGUAUUUUUAUGCAUUUCGUAAUUGUAAAACUAUAAAAACGUGUUUUGCGUUAGCAUUUCUGGAACGGAUUAAUUGGAUUUACAUAAUUUCUUAUGGGAAAAAUUGAUUCGGUUAACGUCCAUUUUGAUGCGAGUCAGACCUUGUGGAACGGAUUAAUGACGCUAACCAAGGUUCCACCAUACUUAGUUGACCCGGCGGUGCGAGUGCACAGUGGGACCUCCGUUUUCGUUAUGAAUUUGUUCCAAAUGUUACUGAAAACUGAAAUGUACGAAAACUGAUUUUUCCAAUAGGAAAUCAUGAAAAUCCAAUUAACUCGUUACAGUCACCCGAAAACAUGACCAAAAAAAUACAUUUAUAGGGAAUAAUUAUAGUUGUACAUGCAGAAAUAGUUAUAAAUGAUGAUUAAAAUUGAUCCGUGAACACUGAACAUCACUGACGACGAGGGACAGACAGAGAGAGAGAGAGAGAGCGAGCGAGCGAGAGGAGGCGAUCCACACCAACAACAACUUCUCAACAUAUUCAGCUGUUUGUGAUCUUUACCCAUUUCGUAACAUCAGCUUUCUUGAUUUCGUCUUCCUUCGCCAGGAUGGAACUUAUUGUUGAUGUCCGACUAGUUUGUCUCACAUUUGAAUUUGCCAAAUGUAUUCUAAAUAACCGAAACAGAAAAAAGAAAGAUCUUACGCUGUAAAGUUUUCAAGACGUUGGCAGUUUUGCUUUCUGAGAGAAAUGUUUGCGAUAACAACAAGGCGUCGUAGGCACGGCAAAGCAAGUUUACUUAUAGAGCACAAUUCAUACGCAAGGUAAUUGAAAGUGCUUCACAGAAAACAAGGGUAAAAUAUCUUCAUGAAAUCAUUCCACGAAGCAGAUUAAAAAUGAAGAGAUAAAUAAGAUCAAAUAUUUUCAGUUGUGACAUUCACAGUUGAGUAGAAGUGUUUUCAGCUUGGAUUUGAACAUUGCCAAAGUUGAGGAUUGCCGCACAUCUUCUGGAAGACCGUUCCAGAUUUUGGCAGCAUAAACCCCAAACGCAGUACUUGGACAAGCUCAGCCAAACUGAAUUCUGCUGCUACACAGAUGCUUAAUUGGGAAUUUGUUGUUGGAAUGGCAUGGCCGCUGGAAUCAAAAUACCUAGCGUUCCCGUUUUUGGCCCCCGUGCCACAUGUUUGCGACCAACCGUGCCGUAAAUGUCUUCACGUGGCAGCCAAAGAUAGCAGGAGUAUUGUGGUUAAGUCAUCAAGGCACAAAGGCGGCUGAUUGUCAGGAGGUUUCCAGACUGCUGUCACACUGGCUCCUUAUUAGCGCCAACAAUGUCUUCUUGCCUAACACACACACACACACACACACACACUUCCUGAGACAAAGCUGAAGGAAAGUUUGCCUUCUGACCAUAAAAAUAGAGCCAUGCCUCAUGUACAUGUCAUUAAAAUGUGCUGAUUGUGGCUUCCCAAAAACACAACAGUGAGUGAAGGUGUGUCCACUGUGGGCCACACAGCAAUAAAAGCCAACCAAACAUGAUGAAAAUGAACUCCAUUCAGCAGGGAGUGGAGUCGGCGCUCUUCAGCUACAAAAAUAUCUUCACAACAAAAUGAGAACAAUUUUGAGCUGGAGGCAUUGUUUUAACAAAAAAAAAAAAAGGGGGAGGACAGUCUCGAAUUAUUUUGCAGAAACGAGGAAAAGCGAUACGACCUUAAUUUCCCAAAGGAACAAACACCACCUGAAACGUCUAAAACAGGACAACACAGAAGAUGAAGCUUCAAAAACCUUACACGUCUGUCACACGGAGGUCAGGACUCGAGGUGCUCGGUUUUCCUCUUUUUUUUUAAGUGUGUUUCGCAUUUAUUUGAAGAAUAAGUGAAAUAUAAUAUAAACAUGUAAGUGAAAGUCAAAUAUAAUGUGCAUAACGGGCAUAACACGGCUGCCGCAUGAGGGAAAAAUAAGUAUUUCCAAAUUUAGUGUUUCUUUUGUUUUCCAAAUAUUAUAUUUUUGUGCUUUGCAUCAAAAGGGGGGGGACAAGAACUUGUACUUGUGUUUUUUUUGUUUUGAAUAAAGAUGGAGGUACAUGUUUUUCAUGCACACCCGUCCAAUAAGAACAACAUGUAUCUACAAAGCAUGUCUCCCUUUUGUUUUGUACUGGACAAAAACACAAGGAUAGAACUAUUUAAACUAGUAGCAUGUUUCAUGAUUUUUCAUGAACAAGCCGGAAUAGAACAGUGGUCACAUGCUAUGAGACAUGCAUGAACAGUCCAAUAAAUGAAAAAAAAAAAAAGUCUCUCCAAAUUAUGUGAGUUUCUUGUGUUUUUGUUUGACAAAAAAAUGUGACUUUUUGCAUGAUUUUUCUUCUUUUGUUCAAUGUUAGCUGUGCUUUUCUUGAACAAAGCAACAAAGCAUACUUUUUAGU
Molecule: long non-coding RNA, 26519 nt
Organism: Dunckerocampus dactyliophorus (ringed pipefish)
Lineage: Eukaryota; Metazoa; Chordata; Actinopteri; Syngnathiformes; Syngnathidae
Exons: 4
Source: RefSeq, a predicted model, not a curated record